GACGAGGGGCCCGAGCGUUAUUCGGAAUCACUGGGCUUAAAGCGUGCGCAGGCGGAUCGGCAGGCAUCUCGUGAAAUCCCCCGGCUCAACCGGGGAAUUGCGGGGUGAACCGCCGGUCUUGAGGCGGGUAGGGGCGGACGGAACCAUGCGUGGAGCGGUGAAAUGCUUAGAUAUGCAUGGGAACACCGAUGGCGAAGGCAGUCCGCUGGGCCCGUCCUGACGCUCAGGCACGAAAGCGUGGGGAGCAAACAGG
This 253-nucleotide ribosomal RNA is filed under the name uncultured bacterium. RNAcentral's name for it is "partial 16S ribosomal RNA". It matches the Rfam family "Bacterial small subunit ribosomal RNA", at positions 524 to 776 of the family's 1533-position model. The record is from RNAcentral.